This 135-nucleotide transfer RNA is filed under the name Hypomontagnella monticulosa. RNAcentral's name for it is "tRNA-Ala". It matches the Rfam family "tRNA". From Rfam's summary of the family: Transfer RNA (tRNA) molecules are approximately 80 nucleotides in length. Their secondary structure includes four short double-helical elements and three loops (D, anti-codon, and T loops). Further hydrogen bonds mediate the characteristic L-shaped molecular structure. tRNAs have two regions of fundamental functional importance: the anti-codon, which is responsible for specific mRNA codon recognition, and the 3' end, to which the tRNAs corresponding amino acid is attached (by aminoacyl-tRNA synthetases). tRNAs cope with the degeneracy of the genetic code in two manners: having more than one tRNA (with a specific anti-codon) for a particular amino acid; and 'wobble' base-pairing, i.e. permitting non-standard base-pairing at the 3rd anti-codon position. The record is from RNAcentral. Lineage: Eukaryota; Fungi; Ascomycota; Sordariomycetes; Xylariales; Hypoxylaceae.
GGGCUUGUGGUUUAGUGGUAUAAUACUCCCUUAGCACGUGAUGGUUUACAGCCAUCUAUAUCGAUGAUGACGUUUCUGUUAUCUCAGAUAGAACCCGCUUGGGAGUGGUCCGGGGUUCGAUUCCCCGCGAGUCCA